This 28-nucleotide small RNA is filed under the name Bombyx mori (domestic silkworm). RNAcentral's name for it is "ovarian small RNA-32385". The record is from RNAcentral. Lineage: Eukaryota; Metazoa; Arthropoda; Insecta; Lepidoptera; Bombycidae.
UGAUACCUUCUAACGAAGGGGGUGAGAC